AGUGAACGCUGGCGGUAGGCCUAACACAUGCAAGUCGAACGGCAGCACAGUAAGAGCUUGCUCUUACGGGUGGCGAGUGGCGGACGGGUGAGGAAUACAUCGGAAUCUACUUUUUCGUGGGGGAUAACGUCGGGAAACUUACGCUAAUACCGCAUACGUCCUACGGGUGAAAGCAGGGGAUCUUUGGACCUUGCGCGAUUGAAUGAGCCGAUGUCGGAUUAGCUAGGUGGCGGGGUAAAGGCCCACCAAGGCGACGAUCCGUAGCUGGUCUGAGGGGAUGAUCAGCCACACUGGAACUGAGACACGGUCCAGACUCCUACGGGAGGCAGCAGUGGGGAAUAUUGGACAAUGGGCGCAAGCCUGAUCCAGCCAUACCGCGUGGGUGAAGAAGGCCUUCGGGUUGUAAAGCCCUUUUGUUGGGAAAGAAAAGCAGCAGGUUAAUACCCCGCUGUUCUGACGGUACCCAAAGAAUAAGCACCGGCUAACUUCGUG
RNAcentral lists this ribosomal RNA (492 nucleotides) under uncultured bacterium. RNAcentral's name for it is "partial 16S ribosomal RNA". It matches the Rfam family "Bacterial small subunit ribosomal RNA", at positions 29 to 507 of the family's 1533-position model. The record is from RNAcentral.